CCUACGGGUGGCAGCAGUGGGGAAUAUUGCACAAUGGGCGCAAGCCUGAUGCAGCGACGCCGCGUGAGCGAAGAAGUAUUUCGGGAUGUAAAGCACUAUCAGCAGGGAAGAAAAUGACGGUACUUGACUAAGAAGCUCCGGCUAAAUACGGGCGAGCAGCCGCGGGAAUACGUAUGGAGCAAGCGUUAACCGGAAUUACGGGGUGUAAAGGUAGCGUAGACGGUUGUGCAAGUCUGAUGUGAAGGCCGGGGGCUCAACCCCUGGACUGCAUUGGGGACUGUAAAUCUUGAGUGCCGGAGAGGUAAGCGGAAUUCCUAGUGUAGCGGUGAAAUGCGUAGAUAUUAGGAGGAACACCAGUGGCGAAGGCGGCUUACUGGACGGUAACUGACGUUGAGGCUCGAAAGCGUGGGGAGCAAACAGGAUUAGAUACCCCUGUAGUC
RNAcentral lists this ribosomal RNA (440 nucleotides) under uncultured bacterium. Its description in RNAcentral is "partial 16S ribosomal RNA". It matches the Rfam family "Bacterial small subunit ribosomal RNA", at positions 338 to 795 of the family's 1533-position model. The record is from RNAcentral.